Long non-coding RNA from Galendromus occidentalis (western predatory mite), 575 nucleotides. RefSeq lists it as uncharacterized. The record is from RefSeq and is a predicted model, not a curated record. The transcript is spliced from 5 exons. Lineage: Eukaryota; Metazoa; Arthropoda; Arachnida; Mesostigmata; Phytoseiidae.
GAGAGGUUUCACUGUCGGGGCAUUGCAAAACGAGACAGUACCUGGGAUCCGAGCGACUUAGUUGGAGCAUUGAUUCUUCUUUUUGGCAUCGAAGGUGCCAGAGAUCGCCGGCCAUUGGGUCGUCUGGAAGCGAACCGGUCGUCUGAUUGAUACAACCAGCAGAUGCGGCCGAGCUGACAUAAUUCAUGAAAAUGGUGACGUCUACAAGAUUGACGGCCAGUGGAUGGACGAUCAUGGUAAAUCUUACGAGGAAGCCUUCUUCGUGGUGGACGACCGAAGUCAUCCCGCGCGAUUCCUCUUCCAAUCAGACAAUCACAAGGUGGCGCUUUCGAUCCUGGGCUCAGAUUACAAAAACUAUUUAGUGGCUUACGGAGUGCUCGGUCCGAAAGUGAACUACAACGUCUGCUUCCGUCAACUGCCCCCUGACCCAGCAAGUGUAGCGGAAGUGGAGGCGAUUCUCACGAAAAAUAAGGUCGAAUUAGACACGCUCAAGGCGAUGGAACAGUCGAACUGCUGAGUCAGGUUCUAUGUGAUCUUGGGUUCUAAUCGACUUCUAACACAUUUAUAAUCGGAAU